AAGAAACUGGCCAAAAGAAAUUAAAUGACUUGCUAGUGUCACCCAGCUCAUUAGUGAUCAGAAUGGUUCUUGAAUCCAGGUUUUCCUGAUUCCAUCUGCAUCAUUCUAAAAUAUGUGCUCUGCUAUUUACUCAGGUACUCUUUAUUGAGGUUAGUGCUUUAAGAAGAUGGAAGAAGCUUUCUAUUGAAAGAGAUGACAAAAUUGAAACAUG
RNAcentral lists this long non-coding RNA (211 nucleotides) under Monodelphis domestica (gray short-tailed opossum). RNAcentral's name for it is "lncRNA (ENSMODG00000034054.2)". Lineage: Eukaryota; Metazoa; Chordata; Mammalia; Didelphimorphia; Didelphidae. The record is from RNAcentral.